ACAAGAUGAAAACCACAUUAGGUACACGAAGAUGUUACCAUGAAUAGAAGAAAUAAGUUAACCCAUUUCUGACGAAAACAGCCAAACAAGAAGAAAACAGAACUGAUGAUGAUUUCAUUCACUUGUGCCAUGUUUGCUAAGGUAAACGACCUAUGAAAAAGAAUUUGUAAUGAUCAAAGAAGAAAACAACCAGUAAAUAUAUUCCUCUGAGGUAGGAAAACAAAGCAACAACUGGAAGGGUGCAA
Long non-coding RNA from Saccostrea cuccullata (small rock oyster), 245 nucleotides. RefSeq lists it as uncharacterized. The transcript is spliced from 3 exons. The record is from RefSeq and is a predicted model, not a curated record. Lineage: Eukaryota; Metazoa; Mollusca; Bivalvia; Ostreida; Ostreidae.